This is a long non-coding RNA of Mytilus trossulus (common blue mussel), 1707 nucleotides long. RefSeq lists it as uncharacterized. Lineage: Eukaryota; Metazoa; Mollusca; Bivalvia; Mytilida; Mytilidae. The transcript is spliced from 7 exons. The record is from RefSeq and is a predicted model, not a curated record.
UGUAAUAGAGAUAUGUAAAUUUUAUUUUCCUCCGAAUGAUAUUUAAUGUAAAUUAUUCGGGAUCUAAUUGCCGGCUAAUUCAUUCGAGGCUCAGCCUUCGCUUUUAACACAAAGUUAAUACUGGUCGUACUGAUAUGGUUUGCAAAUGAGUGUUUUUCUUAGCAUAUUUACAUUGGCAUUGUAAAUUAAAGUAUACACAAGUCACGAAGUGGUUUCCUUUUUCAGACGGCACCUCUUCAGGAAACGGGCAUUGAUCAUUUUCAUCCUGUAUAAAAUAUUAAUACAAUUGCAUGACACCGGUUUUUCUCAUACUUCAUUACAAUUGCUAAUGCGAAAUCUGAAUUGCACUGACAAAUUUUGCAUAAUACUGAAAGCUAGCGCCACAAACUAUCUUUUUCCAGUAGGCGAUCGGCCGUCGACAGUUGAACAUUAUAAAGAUUUUAUUUCUCUAAAUGGAUAUUUACAUAAUUUUACUUUUCAUAGUUAUACAUUUACAUAGAACGGAAUGUUAUUUGUUAUUCAGCUCAUUACUAUGUGGUAUCACGUCUCUCAAAUGAACAAUCAGGAUUCACACAACACUUCGGACAUGAUUUAAAUGUUGUGUCCAGUUGGUCAAAGUUUUAAGAUGCGUUAACACGGAUAAGAUGACCCAGUACCUGUCUUCUACCCGUUCUGCUACAUUACAUCAAUUUAUCAAGAAUUCGAAAUGGAAUCUAAAUAUGCAAGAAGUAAAAACACCUAACCUACAGCUAUAUGCACACACAACACAUUCAGUGGAAGGUAUGAUGCUUCACUAUAAGACAACUUAAACGUGGAAUUAUGGUGUUUUCCUGGCGAUUUGGUAUGAAUACUGAUGAGAAGCGGUCACUCCAACGCGCACCUGUUGACAGAAUAGUCAUCAAUACAUGUGGAAUAACAGCCUUAACGUGCAGGAAUAUUCCUUCCUGUUGUAUAUUAAAUGCAAAACUAUCAAUGACAUUGGAGAAACUUACUCGUACAAAGUUAGACAGACUUAGAUAGUAUGAAGGCGGAGAGUGACUCAGGGAACAUAGUGCAAAAUUAAAUCAUUGUGGCUAAUCAAUGUUUGUAAACUCAAUUUGUAUUAAAGAGCCCUACUGACGUUGAUUCUAUGUUUCCGGCGGCCAUAUUAGUAAGUGGGGCGUCGACAAAGAUGAUUACAGUAAUAAUUAAGUUUAUCGUCACACGAAGGACUCACUUAGAGACUGUAUGAAGGAGAACCUUAAACAGAAGAUUUCAACAACAGUCUAAAACAACUGGCACCACCAUAUUAGUGUUCACUAGACCCACACGAAGAAUGGAAAUCUAAACAUAGAUAUUACAGAUGGGGAAAUGUGGACAUCGUAAAAAGAUUACUUAUUUCAGACAUAAGUGACUAAAUACUGUAUCAAAUGUUAUAAAGUCUGAUAAUCUGUUAGACAAGCUUUUGCAGAUGAUCUUUUGACGAAAGUGUCAGUAAAAAUCACAGACAUCUACAAAAACACCGAUUGCUAAAACAUGAAGAUAAUUACCACCUUUGUAUUCCAUGUCAGAAAUAUAAAUAAAAAAAAUAAUAAUAAUUUUGUUUUUGUUGACUGUUGGUUUAAAAAAAUGUAUACCUUUUACUAUGUUCAUAUCUACACUAUGGACGACUGAGAUGUGAAUAUUAUGGUAAAGGAACAUUUAUUCAUAUGAUAUAUCUGCUUUAUG